RNAcentral lists this small nuclear RNA (18 nucleotides) under Arabidopsis thaliana (thale cress). RNAcentral describes it as "snRNA_16840". The record is from RNAcentral. Lineage: Eukaryota; Viridiplantae; Streptophyta; Magnoliopsida; Brassicales; Brassicaceae.
CACCUGCCGAAUCAACUA